CCGAUGCAUAAGAUUUCGUUGGUUGCACGUAGUGACAGAGCACUGCGAAACGUAUCUUUAGAGUGUCUCUUUCCGGUGAUGGCUGCCGGGUGUACUGCGCCGUCAAAAUGGCGGCUGGGUGAGAGAUGCGCUACGGACCGGCAAGAAAAUGAGCGGUUUCUACGACUGCAGCGAGGAUAUAACAACCGGUCACUAUCGCACAAAGAAGGUGUACCAUGCUGAUGAGACUGGCUUGUUUCCUAAGUCCGUCUCCGACGAUAUGCAGGCCAGCAGGAAAGGCAGUUUAACAUUUGGAUGUAAGAUGUUGACCCAAGGACCUGAGAUUGGUGAAGUGUCUCCUUUCAAACGGAUGGACACAUGAAUACCAGCAACCACUGCACGAAGGGUAGGCAUCUACAACAACCCAAGGGACCUGUGCCCUGUGGAGUGUCUCGUUUCACCUGGAUGGACAGAUUAGCACCAGAAACCACUACAAAAAGGGUAGGCCUAUACACCAACCCAGUGGACGUUUGCUUUGUGGAGUGUCUCCUUUCCAAUGGAUGGGCAGAUGAACACCAGUAACCACCGCACAAAGGAUAGUCCUAUACAGCAACUCAGAGGCCCUAUGCUCUAUGGAGUGUCUCGUUUCAAAAGGAUGUGCAGAUAAAUGUCAGCAACCGCACGAAGGGUACACAACAACACAAGGGACCUACAGUCCAUGGAAUACCUCCUUUCAAAUGGAUGGGUGGAUUAACACCAGAAACCACUGCAAAAGGGGUAUGAACAGUCUGUCAUGGAAAAAUUUAAACAGAAAGCUCCCGAUGAUAUGGAAACAGAGCAAAGACAAUGGAAGCUAUUCAGAGAUGUCUCCAUUCUGAAUUACAGUUGGACAGGACAUCCACCAACAUGGUAGGAAGUAAAUGUGCAACUCCUACCGAUUAUGUUACAGUAACAAAUGCCACUUGUUCUCAAUGUGACCAAACAGGGUGAUAAGGCAUGGAACGCAAUGAAGUACGUGGUAUGUAUAGAGAAAAGGGCAGGAUGCCAGUACCAAGCAGAAGUUGGAAGAGUAAGGGAAACUAAGAGGUGACAAAGCUGUGCAGUCGAACACGGUCGCAGUAAAUAAGCCCACAGUCUGAACAGUAGACUGUGCCACAGAAAACGAUGUAUUAGGAAGUGUUGUGCACGACUGAGGAAGCAAUUGAAGCUACUGUCAGAUACAGGGGCACAUCUGUUGAGAAGAAAAAUAUUCCUGUUAGUUGUAAUUUUAGAAUACAUGAAGCAGGAGUAUCUUGGCUGAGAAAUGUCUCCAGCGAAACACUAUGUAGGAGUGAGUGCUGUAUCUUGAAGAUAGUGUACCUAGGAAGAAAUGAUGUUUUCAGAUCAGUGUAUCCAGUUAGCGACCGUUUCUAGAAUCACAU
Schistocerca cancellata (South American locust) is the source of this 1400-nucleotide long non-coding RNA. RefSeq lists it as uncharacterized. NCBI's taxonomy places the organism in Eukaryota, Metazoa, Arthropoda, Insecta, Orthoptera, Acrididae. The record is from RefSeq and is a predicted model, not a curated record. The transcript is spliced from 3 exons.